UACGUAGGUGGCAAGCGUUAUCCGGAAUUACUGGGCGUAAAGCGCACGCAGGUGGCCUUUUAAGUCUGACGUGAAAGCUCCUGGCUUAACUGGGAGAGGUCGUUGGGGACUGGGAGGCUUGAGGCGAGGAGAGGGGCGUAGAAUUCCCGGUGUAGUGGUGGAAUGCGUAGAUAUCGGGGGGAAUACCAGAGGCGAAAGCGGCGCCCUGGCCUGAGCCUGACACUCAUGUGCGAAAGCGUGGGGAGCGAACGGG
RNAcentral lists this ribosomal RNA (253 nucleotides) under uncultured bacterium. RNAcentral's name for it is "partial 16S ribosomal RNA". It matches the Rfam family "Bacterial small subunit ribosomal RNA", at positions 524 to 776 of the family's 1533-position model. The record is from RNAcentral.